This 441-nucleotide ribosomal RNA is filed under the name uncultured Neocallimastigomycetes. RNAcentral's name for it is "LSU rRNA". It matches the Rfam family "Eukaryotic large subunit ribosomal RNA", at positions 107 to 542 of the family's 3401-position model. Lineage: Eukaryota; Fungi; Neocallimastigomycota; Neocallimastigomycetes. The record is from RNAcentral.
GCUCAAAUUUGAAAUCUUCAAGGUUUUACCUUGACGAAUUGUAGUUUAAAGAAGUGUUUUCUGUUGGUGUUUUGGUAAAAGUUCUUUGGAAUAGGACAUCAUAGAGGGUGAGAAUCCCGUAUUUGACCAUUACUUCCAGCGUUGUGAUACACUUUCAAAGAGUCGGAUUGUUUGGGAAUGCAGUCCAAAAUGGGUGGUAAAUUUCAUCUAAAGCUAAAUGUUGGCGAGAGACCGAUAGCGAACAAGUACCGUGAGGGAAAGAUGAAAAGAACUUUGAAAAGAGAGUUAAACAGUACGUGAAAUUGUCAAAAGGGAAGCGUUUGACACCAGUGUUGUUUUCUCGAAAAUCAAUUAAAAAUGGUUGGAUUUUGUAUUGUUAAGACCUUAUCAGCUUACUGUACUCUUUUCCUGCCUUUUUUAAUGCACUUUUCGGUUAACAAG